RNAcentral lists this small RNA (77 nucleotides) under Percolomonas cosmopolitus. Its description in RNAcentral is "partial transfer-messenger RNA". The record is from RNAcentral. Lineage: Eukaryota; Heterolobosea; Eutetramitea; Percolomonadida; Percolomonadidae.
AAUAAAGCCAUCAAAAAAAUAAAUGCUGAAACCAAUGCCAAAAUUCUAGGCGUGCAGGUCAACACGUACAAGUCUCU